CCUACGGGCGGCAGCAGUGGGGAAUAUUGGACAAUGGGGGGAACCCUGAUCCAGCCAUGCCGCGUGUGUGAAGAAGGCCCUCGGGUUGUAAAGCACUUUCAGUGAGGAAGAACGCCUGGUGGUUAAUACCCAUCAGGAAAGACAUCACUCACAGAAGAAGCACCGGCUAACUCCGUGCCAGCAGCCGCGGUAAUACGGAGGGUGCGAGCGUUAAUCGGAAUUACUGGGCGUAAAGCGCGCGUAGGUGGCUUGAUAAGCCGGUUGUGAAAGCCCCGGGCUCAACCUGGGAACGGCAUCCGGAACUGUCAAGCUAGAGUGCAGGAGAGGAAGGUAGAAUUCCCGGUGUAGCGGUGAAAUGCGUAGAGAUCGGGAGGAAUACCAGUGGCGAAGGCGGCCUUCUGGACUGACACUGCCACUGAGGUGCGAAAGCGUGGGUAGCAAACAGGAUUAGAUACCCCGGUAGUC
This 465-nucleotide ribosomal RNA is filed under the name Vreelandella stevensii. RNAcentral describes it as "partial 16S ribosomal RNA". It matches the Rfam family "Bacterial small subunit ribosomal RNA", at positions 338 to 795 of the family's 1533-position model. Lineage: Bacteria; Pseudomonadati; Pseudomonadota; Gammaproteobacteria; Oceanospirillales; Halomonadaceae. The record is from RNAcentral.